This 253-nucleotide ribosomal RNA is filed under the name uncultured bacterium. RNAcentral describes it as "partial 16S ribosomal RNA". It matches the Rfam family "Bacterial small subunit ribosomal RNA", at positions 524 to 776 of the family's 1533-position model. The record is from RNAcentral.
UACGAAGGGGGCUAGCGUUGCUCGGAAUCACUGGGCGUAAAGGGUGCGUAGGCGGGUCUUUAAGUCAGGGGUGAAAUCCUGGAGCUCAACUCCAGAACUGCCUUUGAUACUGAGGAUCUUGAGUUCGGGAGAGGUGAGUGGAACUGCGAGUGUAGAGGUGAAAUUCGUAGAUAUUCGCAAGAACACCGGUGGCGAAGGCGGCUCACUGGUCCGGAACUGACGCUGAGGCACGACAGCGUGGGGAGCAAACAGG